This 764-nucleotide long non-coding RNA is filed under the name Homo sapiens (human). Its description in RNAcentral is "LHRI_LNC388.1". The record is from RNAcentral. Lineage: Eukaryota; Metazoa; Chordata; Mammalia; Primates; Hominidae.
GCAGGACAUGGAGAGACUCUUCCUGAGGCCAGUGAGGCGUGCAAGUGCCAGCCAUUCCUUUUGGGGUUUUUUUUCACAAUUUUAAUAUUUUAUCCAUUAAUGAAUUUGUUUUGCAUUCAAUUUUUACUUUUUUUAAAAGAUUAUUGCAUUGCAAUAUGAUUUCAUUUGAUUGCUGACUUGCUGGGCUUUUUCUUUUUUUUAAUUUGAUGCUCAAAGCAAGUAUCUCAGUUGUGUGACUCCAGUUCAGCCCUGCAAAGAAAGGCGCUUGUCUCCCUAAACACACCUGUCCGGCCCCAUCCUGUCCCCUCUGAGAUCCACUCCUGCCCUCUCCCCACCCCACAACCCUUCCCUGGCAGGAAGAGGACAGUGGUGCUGUGGGUCCCAGGGAAGUUCCAGACCUCACAGCUGAGCACAGACCAGAGCGGAGCUCCUCUCUGAAGGUCCACGCUCAGCAGUUACUAAGGGUGGAGGAGGUGUGUUCUCCUCUCCAGCCCCUCCCCAGCAUACUGGUGCACUCACUCUGCAGGGAGACGUUCAGGUAGACCUGCUGAGAGCCGAGAGGGUUCUGAGCUCUGCAGGUGAAUUCAGCUGCAUCCCUCAGGUGCACCCAAGGCAGCUCCAGCACCCCCGGGUUUGAGGGCUGUGAGGGGCACAGGGUCAGGCCUCUCCAGCUCAGGCUCAGCCUGGCAGGGGGAUUGCUGUCAACUGCAUCAACUGCACAGACCAGGCGCAGAGACUGGCCCUCUGGGAGUGACAGAGAUGAG